Molecule: transfer RNA, 77 nt
Filed under: Puniceicoccales bacterium
Lineage: Bacteria; Pseudomonadati; Verrucomicrobiota; Opitutia; Puniceicoccales
Description: tRNA-Val
Rfam family: tRNA
About the family: Transfer RNA (tRNA) molecules are approximately 80 nucleotides in length.
Source: RNAcentral
GGGGGGUUAGCUCAGCUGGUUAGAGUGCCAGUAUCACACACUGGAUGUCGGCGGUUCGAGUCCGCCACCUCCCACCA